RNAcentral lists this long non-coding RNA (249 nucleotides) under Hordeum vulgare. Its description in RNAcentral is "long non-coding RNA (HVUL_LNC019819)". Lineage: Eukaryota; Viridiplantae; Streptophyta; Magnoliopsida; Poales; Poaceae. The record is from RNAcentral.
GCAUUAUUUGUAAGUUAAAGCAAUGUAUGAAAUUUACAUCAAGCAAUGAAAAAAUCUCGAUAAAAGGAUUCUAUUAAAUGCGUUUCUGGCCAUCUGUGCAAACGCAUACGCUUGAAGAUUAAUAAAAAAUUUGUCUAGUCUGAGCGAAAUGAUCCUAGUUUAUCGUAUGCAACUUGAUGCUCGUAAAGUGCAUCUCACCUUUCUGGUUGCGUUAUAUUUAUUACACAUAACGAUCGCACAUUGCACAAC